GAUAUUAUGAGUAAUAUCACAGUGGGUGUGCACAAAGUGUGUAAACCCUAUGAUAUUACUUGUAAUAUUUUAUGAAGGUAUGAC
RNAcentral lists this microRNA precursor (84 nucleotides) under Chlorocebus sabaeus (green monkey). RNAcentral's name for it is "miRNA (ENSCSAG00000026565.1)". Lineage: Eukaryota; Metazoa; Chordata; Mammalia; Primates; Cercopithecidae. The record is from RNAcentral.